Long non-coding RNA from Thalassophryne amazonica, 100 nucleotides. RefSeq lists it as uncharacterized. The transcript is spliced from 3 exons. The record is from RefSeq and is a predicted model, not a curated record. NCBI's taxonomy places the organism in Eukaryota, Metazoa, Chordata, Actinopteri, Batrachoidiformes, Batrachoididae.
CAGCAAUAUGGACACCGCAGUGACCGUAUUUGUUAUGGCAGUUUAUUGUAAGGACUGUAUGGUACACUGGAUUAGAUCACUUGUGGCCGCUGGGGGGCAU